Molecule: long non-coding RNA, 1268 nt
Organism: Oncorhynchus tshawytscha (Chinook salmon)
Lineage: Eukaryota; Metazoa; Chordata; Actinopteri; Salmoniformes; Salmonidae
Source: Ensembl
GGUUAUGAUAUCGUUUAGUACCUUGAGCGUGGCUGAGGUGCACACGUGACCGGCUCGGAAACCAGAUUGCACAGCGGAGAAGGAACGGUGGGAUUCGAGAUGGUCAGUGACCUGUUUGUUGACUUGGCUUUCGAAGACCUUAGAUAGGCAGGGCAGGAUGGAUAUAGGUCUGUAACGACUGCGGCAGCUUUCCAAUCCUUGGGGAUCUCAGACGAUAUGAAACAGAGGUUGAACAGGCUGGAAAUAGGGGUUGCGACAAUGGCGGCGGAUAGUUUCAGAAAUAGAGGGUCCAGAUUGUCAAGCCCAGCUGAUUUGUACGGGUCCAGGUUUUGCAUCUCUUUCAGAACAUCUGCUAUCUGGAUUUGGGUAAAGGAGAACCUGGAGAGGCUUGGGCGAGUAGCUGCGGGGGGGGGGGACGGAGCUGUUGGCCGAGGUUGGAGUAGCCAGGCGGAAGGCAUGGCCAGCCGUUGAGAAAUGCUUGUUGAAGUUUUCAAUAAUCAUGGAUUUAUCGGUGGUGACCAUGUUACCUAGCCUCAGUGCAGUGAGCAGCUGGGAGGAGGUGCUCUUGUUCUCCAUGUACUUCACAGUGUCCCAGAACUUUUUGGAGUUGGAGCUACAGGAUGCAAAUUUCUGCCUGAAGAAGCUGGCCUUAGCUUUCCUGACUGACUGCGUGUAUUGGUUCCUGAUUUCCCUGAACAGUUGCAUAUCGCGGGGACUAUUCGAUGCUAUUGCAGUCCGCCACAGGAUGUUUUUGUGCUGGUCGAGGGCAGUCAGGUCUGGGGUGAACCAAGGACUGUAUCUGUUCUUAGUUCUGCAUUUUUUGAACGGAGCAUGCUUAUCUAAAAUGGUGAGGAAGUUACUUUUAAAGAAUGACCAGGCAUCCUCAACUGACGGGAUGAGGUCAAUGUCCUUCCAGGAUACCCGGGCCAGGUCGAUUAGAAAGGCCUGCUCACAGAAGUGUUUUAGGGAGCGUUUGACAGUGAUGAGGGGUGGUCGUUUGACUGCGGCUCCGUAGCGGAUACAGGCAAUGAGGCAGUGAUCGCUGAGAUCCUGGUUGAAGACAGCGGAGGUGUAUUUGGAGGGCCAGUUGGUCAGGAUGACGUCUAUGAGGGUGCCCUUGUUUACAGAGUUAGGGUUGUACCUGGUGGGUUCCUUGAUGAUUUGUGUGAGAUUGAGGGCAUCUAGCUUAGAUUGUAGGACUGGCGGGGUGUUAAGCAUAUCCCAGUUUAGGUCACCUAACAGAACAAACUCUGAGGCUAGAUGGGGGG